GACGAACGCUGGCGGCGUGCCUAAUACAUGCAAGUAGAACGCUGAAGGAGGAGCUUGCUUCUCUGGAUGAGUUGCGAACGGGUGAGUAACGCGUAGGUAACCUGCCUGGUAGCGGGGGAUAACUAUUGGAAACGAUAGCUAAUACCGCAUAAUAGUAGAUGUUGCAUGACAUUUGCUUAAAAGGUGCAAUUGCAUCACUACCGGAUGGACCUGCGUUGUAUUAGCUAGUUGGUGAGGUAACGGCUCACCAAGGCAACGAUACAUAGCCGACCUGAGAGGGUGAUCGGCCACACUGGGACUGAGACACGGCCCAGACUCCUACGGGAGGCAGCAGUAGGGAAUCUUCGGCAAUGGACGGAAGUCUGACCGAGCAACGCCGCGUGAGUGAAGAAGGUUUUCGGAUCGUAAAGCUCUGUUGUAAGAGAAGAACGAGUGUGAGAGUGGAAAGUUCACACUGUGACGGUAUCUGACCAGAAAGGGACGGCUAACUACGUG
Molecule: ribosomal RNA, 495 nt
Filed under: uncultured bacterium
Lineage: Bacteria
Description: partial 16S ribosomal RNA
Rfam family: Bacterial small subunit ribosomal RNA
Source: RNAcentral